UUUCGAAUCAUUCACAAUGGGGGCAACCCUGAUGGUGCGACGUCGCGUGAGGGAUGAAGGUCUUCGGAUUGUAAACCUCUGUCACAUGGGACUAAACGUAAGGUUUAUAGCCUUACCUGAAUUAACUAUGAGAGGAAGUAGUGGCUAACUCUGUGCCAGCAGCCGCGGUAAUACAGAGACUACGAGCGUUACUCGGAUUCACUGGGCGUAAAGGGAGCGCAGGCGGAAAUGUGUGUUAGGUGUGAAAGCCCGAGGCUUAACUUCGGAAUUGCGCCUAAAACUACAUAUCUAGAGACUUGGAGGGGUAAGCGGAAUUUCUGGAGUAGCGGUAAAAUGCGCAGAUAUCAGAAGGAACACCGACGGCGAAGGCAGCUUACUGGACAAGAUCUGACGCUCAGGCUCGAAAGUGUGGGUAGCAAAAG
RNAcentral lists this ribosomal RNA (422 nucleotides) under uncultured Opitutia bacterium. RNAcentral's name for it is "uncultured Opitutae bacterium partial 16S ribosomal RNA". It matches the Rfam family "Bacterial small subunit ribosomal RNA", at positions 355 to 774 of the family's 1533-position model. Lineage: Bacteria; Pseudomonadati; Verrucomicrobiota; Opitutia. The record is from RNAcentral.